UACGUAGGGGGGCAAGCGUUUGUCCGGAAUCAUUGGGCGUAAAGAGCGUGUAGGCGGCCCGGUAAGUCCGCUGUGAAAGUCCAGGGCUCAACCCUGGAAUGCCGGUGGAAACUGUCGGGCUAGAGUCCGGAAGAGGCGAGUGGAAUUCCUGGUGUAGCGGUGAAAUGCGCAGAUAUCAGGAGGAACACCAAUGGCGAAGGCAGCUCGCUCGGGACGGUACUGACGCUGAGACGCGAAAGCGUGGGGAGCAAACAGG
This 256-nucleotide ribosomal RNA is filed under the name uncultured bacterium. Its description in RNAcentral is "partial 16S ribosomal RNA". It matches the Rfam family "Bacterial small subunit ribosomal RNA", at positions 524 to 776 of the family's 1533-position model. The record is from RNAcentral.